Bacillus rossius redtenbacheri is the source of this 5132-nucleotide long non-coding RNA. RefSeq lists it as uncharacterized. The transcript has 2 exons. The record is from RefSeq and is a predicted model, not a curated record. NCBI's taxonomy places the organism in Eukaryota, Metazoa, Arthropoda, Insecta, Phasmatodea, Bacillidae.
CUGGCGCUGCUGCAGGAGCGGGGGGCGGCGCCCCUGGGCGCGGAGGCGGCCGUGGCGCGCCCGCCCGCCGCCAGGUGCCUGUUCGGGGCGCCCGCCCCCGGGGAGGCGGCGCGCUUCGCCGAGGAGCUGCUGCGAGCCGACAGGGAGCGCUUCGGCCGCGACGUGCUGGCUGCGUGGCCGCCGGGCCAGGAGCACCCGGAGCGCACCCCGCCGCGGCGACUGCGGCGCGGGCCGUACGCGCGCCAGCUGCUCGUCACAGACGUGUGGCGGGCGAGGCGGCGGCCGGCGCCGCUGCAGGGCCUCAAGACCCCCGGCCUCCGCCCCUGCGACGAGGACGCCGCGGCGCCGCCCCCUGCCCCCGCGAGCAGCUAGGCCCGGCGGGGGCGGAGCUCCGUCCUCACCAGCCGCCGCCGGCAGCCCGGAGCAUCCAGCAGCUUGUCAAGACAACCACGGUUACAGCAAUGCCACUUCUUUAUGCCUCAUGACUAACACUGCCAGGACUCUAAAAAAACAUAUUACAGUCUGUUUGUGCUCUGUGAAAUUUAUUAUUAUUGAAGUGAAGAAAACGGGGAGAGAAUUAGGGACUAUUAACAAUUUUGGUCACCGAAAGUACUGUAUAUAUGUAUAUAUAUGUAUAUGUAUAUGUGUGUAUAUAUAUAUAUGUAUAUGUAUAUGUGUAUAUAUAUAUAUAUAUAUAUAUAUAUAUACACACACACACACGCAUAUAUAUUUUUUACUACCCGUAUGUUUUUGUGAGCCUGAGGCUGAUAUCCGUGGCUUGUACCAGUUACUGACGACUUGACUCGCUGCAGUGCCUCUGAGCCAGGAUGUCCAGAGCGAGCUGAAAGGACUUUCAGAGGAGACUCCUCCCGCCCUGCAGCCUCGAGUCCUCGCCCUUCGACCUGCGACCGCUCCUUGGUCCUUGGACUGCAGUUCGCCAGCGACCAACAUCCGUGGCGUCAGCCCUACAAGUGCUCUGCAACUCAUUAAGUAAUAUUAUCAGAAAAAAAUAUAUCUCUUGAGUGUCCAGGGAGGGACCCUACCAUUUCGCGUAUCAAGCCUCUUUCACUAAUUAAGUCAAGAAUUGUGUAAAGAUUAACUGCAAUUAUUUAUGUAUAAGUUGCCAAAUUGUUUGUCCAAUCGUACUAGAGAAAGGGACGUGAAACACCCAACAGUGAAGCUUGCCGUGGAAAUGUGACGUGAAAUGGCAGUCUGUCAAUGUAUUUCGUGUAUUACGAUUGUUUUAACUUUGACAAUUCACCAUAUGCAAUAAACUUAUUUAUAAGCAUGUAUUCCACUAUUCAUAAGGAAAGCGUAACGUCCACUUAGGAAUAAUUUAUUAGCCUUGCACUUGUAUAGUCUACAUGUGUAUACUGUAUUUAUGUGGUUAUCUGCACGAGUGGUGCUGAAGGAGACUUUAAUUGCCGAAAUGGCAUGAAUAUCGUAUUGCCAACGUCGUAGCCAGGUGUUUUAUCUUCCCCAGCCUCUUUUCCCCAUUAUACAUUUUUCUGGGGGGGGGGGGGGGGGGGAAACAGUAGAAAAACAUUUACCUGGGUAUAGAAUCAGGGGGUUGAACAAAUAAUUUUAUACAUCUGUAAUAGUUUUUUAAUUACACUUUAUGAUCUUUACUUUACACCAUGAACUGUAAAUAAUUUAUUGAAAACUAAUACUUUUUUUGUGUAAUUAGUAAAAAUUUUAAUAUAUACCACACCUUUUACGGCUUUUUGUUAGCUUAUGUAAGGAACUUUAUUUUUAAAGUUUUCUCAAGGGUCCUUGAAAGUAUUUUCGUUGCAAAUUGCAUUUAAAUAAACUGAAAAGGGUAUAUUAUUAAUUAAGUUUAGGUGUGGAAAUUGAUGCACGUAAUGUAUAACAUAUUUCAUUAAUUAAUUAAUUAUUUAAUAAAAUAUUGGGGUAAAGAAAUCCUCGUAGAGAUUGUAAUAUCGUUAUAACAUUGCUGCGUUUAUAAACCAGGAAUACUUAAAAAAAAGUAUAUAUAAAAGUUGUAAUCUCAUAAGCCUAGCUGUGUAAAGUACAGUAUACAUAAUACAAAGUAAGAACAUUUCCUUUACAAACUUUGAAGUAACAUUCAGAAAUCUUGAAUAGGAAACAAAGUUUACCUCAAUUGAAAGGAAUAAUUAUGGCACUGUACAAUAAAAUCCUCCGGUGUGCACGCGAAAUGUAGUGGGCAUGUAAGGGUACGAGAAUUAUCGCCAGACGAUGGACAGAACCACGCUGCACAACUCGCGAAAUGGGUAGUCAUGUUGAAAUCAUUUUUUACUUCUUUUGAGCAAGAGUGGUGGCCAAACGAAAUUAAUUAAUUAAAUUUAUAAAAUGUUGUGUAUCUAGUAUUGUUAGAAAACUCAAUUCUAAAUAUUAUACAGAAAUAAAAUGGGCUAUAUCAGUCAAACAUUGUCCAAAAGCUAGCUAUUUUUUUUUAAAAUAAAAUCAAAAGCUAACUAUUAAGUUAAAUAAAAUAUAAUCUAAGUAAAUAGUAAUUCAUUGAAGAGGAAUGCCUCUUUAAAAAUAUAAAAUUAACAACAAACCAAACAUUUAAAAUGUGAAAGUGUUGGUGGAACAAAUGCAGUAGCAUUUAGUAUGUUUCGGUAGUUCAGAAAUCAAGAGUGUUUUUUUUUUUAAAUUUAUUUUUAAUUACUUUUAAAUAAAGGUAAUAUAGAAUGUUAAGGUUUGCUAAAGAUUUUAAAAUGAAUUUUCUAAAUGUUGCUAAGCAAUAUGCAAUAAAAGUAGGGUAACUGCCACAAAACCAUUAUUACUGCUUUAAAUAAUAUGAUUAGUAGACAUUUUGUAAAAAAAAAUUGAAUUUAGGCCCUAAUUAUUAUUAAUCUUAACCAAUCAUAAAUUUAUUUCUCACUCUAAAAUUUAAUAUUAUAUUAAAGGUACAUCAUCAUAUUUUUAGUAUUAUGUAAGGUGAAUAUGAUAAAAAAAAAGAUAAUUUUUUUUGCAAAUAAUAUGGUUGUAUAUUUUUCCAAAAAAAUUUAAAAUGUCCAACUUUUAUACUCAUUAAUUAAACUAUAUUUAUUUUACCCUGUAAUCAUUCUCUCACAGUGUAAUAGACAGCAUGCGGGCAUAUCACAGCAAGCUAUGAAAUAUCAGAUCCCACAUGCGGUGAGAAAUUUGUAAUUAAAACUUAAGCAUAAUUAUUUUUUUUUUUAAACUAUACAAUGCCUAUACAUUUAAAGUGAAAGAGACAUUUACCUAGAGAUCACAGAAUUGUUCCUGUACAUUCGUUGUGUGAAGGAACUUUACCUCAGUUGUGCCAUAACCCCCGUGACCCAGAAUCCUGGCUGCGUGCGUGGGCCUAAGCGAGUGGUUGUAUUGGAGUAGCUGAUGGAUCUCUGCCUCAGUCAAGCUAGCUUACCAAAGUGUCGAGUUAGAGCUCCUUCGAGCGCCUGGGAGCGCCUUAGGGCUUAGGUGCAGCGCCGCUGUGACGCCCGCCGUGACCUGAACUGUGACCUGCUGAGCUGCGUGCUCCCUCCCCCCCUUCCCCCCAACUCUCACUGAUUCAUCCGAGGCUCCAUAGCAAAGCUCGGUUCACAACUGAAAAAAAGAAUAUAACAGUAGCAGUAAAUUGUGUGCUCAAGAUUCAACUGCCAUGUUUUACAACCUACUGAUUCAAACUAGCACUUAGGAUGGUCUUGUGCAUACGAGGAAAAUGAAUAUUGUUUUAUUCCUGUUAACGGAUGCAUGGCGCGACGGGCUAUGCGACCAGAGUAGGAUGCAAUUAUGGCGGGACUAGAGAUAAUACUGUGGCAAUGCUCUGGUGUAGAUAAUGCCUGAUUUAAAAAAUUAAUUAUUGCUAUUACAUACUUAUAAAAAGUCCCUAGAAACUAAUGUAAAUAAAAAUGUAUAAAAAGGUCAGUAGAAAAUAAUGUAAAUAAAAAUGUAUUAAAAAAAACACUAGAAACUAAUGUAAAUAAAAAUCUUCCCUGAGUAUAAUGGUACAUUAAAUAUUUUACAUAACCAAAAUUAAUUUAUAUGUUUGCACAAACUUGUUGGUCAGAUGUCGUGGGAUAAUCAUUUCAUAGUUAAUGCAUUUAUUUACUAACACUACCAACAGAUGGAUACAUCACACGAAAUUUCAUUGGCUGAAAUUAACAGGAAUAUUUCGAUUGUGGACUGAUUUCGCACAGGUCGUGUGUUUGACCUGCUAUGCAAUCGCUUAUGUUUUUUUUUUUUUUAAUUGUGAUCCCAGCUUCGAUCGCGCUGUCCAGACACAUGCGUUGUCACCAGGUCUGAACUCUGAGUGAGAAGCCCAUCACAGCUGGUAGUAAGACUCGCAGCGCUAGUUCCUUCUGUUCCGUUUUGUCCUCGGCUGCUGGUGCGUCACUGGCAGAUCUCACAGUGGCGCUGCUUUAGUUUGGAUUCAUUUCAGUGUGAUAUUGCAGGACUGUGAUUGGCUCGCCAACACUGUGUGUACAGGACCGCAGUCCUCUCUCCCGACCAAUCAGCUGAGCCAAGCGUGACUUGUACAAGCGAUGUAUGGGAGAGUUGACUUCAUUGCAGUUUUGUGCUCCGCAGAUAAGAAUAAGACCAGAAACCUCUUCUUACUUUUGGUGUGUCAGAAUAAUAACUGCUGGAGUUGCAAUCGUAACUGUGUUAAAUUCUAAUUUAUUGUAUUUUAUAGUAAUUAUGUAUGCAAUCCUCGUGUCAGAGAGUGAAUUUACUAAAACAAAUGUAAUAUUUAUUACCAUUUUAUAUUGAUAAUGGGAGUUAGGGGGUGAUCUCCUGGAGGUGUGUUACGCUUACGGUGCAUGUAACCACCAGACGCAUCAUGCAAUACAUGCAGCACAAGUGUUGAAAACUCUCAGGAAGGUCAUGUGAAUGUGUUUGUUGUCUAGUCCUUCCAGCAAUUUAAUGGGGCAAUUAAUAAUUUAUUAUGGUUUAUGUGAUGCAAAGCUAUAUUAAUUUAAUUUCCAUUAUAUGUAAUCCAUGGUAGUAAGUAAGGGAAAAUAUUUUUUAGAUAGUUCAUAAAUUAUUUGUUAGAAACUGCCUAAUGCAAUAUUAUAAUUUAAUAUUUAAUAGCAUAUAUUUUUGUAUAGCAUGGAAUAAAGUAUUCUUAUGAUAUGUGAAGUGUAUUUAAAAUAAAUUUCCUGUAAUAAAGUGUGUUUAAUUUU